RNAcentral lists this ribosomal RNA (210 nucleotides) under Bacillus licheniformis. RNAcentral describes it as "partial 23S ribosomal RNA". It matches the Rfam family "Bacterial large subunit ribosomal RNA", at positions 2717 to 2925 of the family's 2925-position model. Lineage: Bacteria; Bacillati; Bacillota; Bacilli; Caryophanales; Bacillaceae. The record is from RNAcentral.
CCAGUUGUUCUGCCAAGGGCAUCGCUGGGUAGCUAUGUGCGGACGGGAUAAGUGCUGAAAGCAUCUAAGCAUGAAGCCCCCCUCAAGAUGAGAUUUCCCAUUCCUAUAAGGAAGUAAGAUCCCUGAAAGAUGAUCAGGUUGAUAGGUCUGAGGUGGAAGUGUGGCGACACAUGGAGCUGACAGAUACUAAUCGAUCGAGGACUUAACCUA